CUGUAGCAUCCAUUGACGAAAAAAGAGAUUGGUUCACUUCUCCUGUCCCAUGGAAAUCCAUUUCAAUUCCAAGCGGCAACUCACGGUUCCAAAUACGCAUCGGCGCUCUUCGCCAACGCUCCUCUCUCCUCAUCCAUGUUCCGCACCAACGCCGACUGUCCAACAGCGCUGACAUAGCCACUGAACAAAUCGGGGUUGUGAAAAAUGCUGCCCAUUACUGGCGCAAAAAACACAAGCGCCCCAGGUCUAUCCAGCACCGACAGUCAAUGGCGCCGACAUUCCUCCCAAUCAAAAUCUGUGCUGGUACAGGCGUGCUGCCGAGAAGGCGCAACCACCAA
Hippocampus zosterae (dwarf seahorse) is the source of this 338-nucleotide long non-coding RNA. RefSeq lists it as uncharacterized. NCBI's taxonomy places the organism in Eukaryota, Metazoa, Chordata, Actinopteri, Syngnathiformes, Syngnathidae. The transcript is spliced from 2 exons. The record is from RefSeq and is a predicted model, not a curated record.